Molecule: long non-coding RNA, 3565 nt
Organism: Gorilla gorilla gorilla (western lowland gorilla)
Lineage: Eukaryota; Metazoa; Chordata; Mammalia; Primates; Hominidae
Exons: 3
Source: RefSeq, a predicted model, not a curated record
AAAGAAAUACAGAACAGGCCAGGUGCGGUGGCUCACACCUGUAAUCCCAGCACUUUGGGAGGCCAAGGCAGGAGGAUUCACUGAGCUCAGGAGUUCGAGACCAUCCUAGGCAACACAAUGAAACUCUAUCUAUACUAAAAUACAAAAAAUUAGCUGGGCGUGGCAGGGUGUGGCUGUAAUCCCAGCUACUUGGGAGGCUGAGGCAGGAGAAUCGCUUGAACCGGGGAGAUGGAGGUUGCAGUGAGCCGAGAUAGCACCACUGUACUUCAGCCUGGGCGACAGAGCAAGACUCUGUCUCCAAAAAAAAAAAAAAAAAAAAGCAAAUACUGAACAGAGUCCUUGCCCCUAUAGAAUACACUAAGGGAAGCACCUUUUGCCCCUUUGUUUGGGGCAUGGCUCCUAAAUGUCCUAGGUUCAUUUUGAUAAGGGAUUUGGGGGAAGAAGACUGACUUAGAAGCAAGUGGUUUGAAGCUAGGCUCUAUCAUGAAAGGUGAUGUGACUCUUUCAAGGGCUGGGUCUCUCAUCUAUGGGAUUAUGGGCAAUCUCUCUUGGUUCCCAGAUUUGAUGCUAUAAACACUGCUCAAUCAUAAUAUUAUGGACUGAAUUGUUUCCUCCCAAAAUUCGUAUGUUGAAGCCCUAACCCACAAUGUGACUAUAUUUGGAGACAGAGCCUUUAGGAAGGUAAUUAAGGUUAAAUGAGGUCCUAGUCCUCCUUUAACUAGGGUAGGAUGGGGCCUUAGUCUAAUAGGACUGGUGUCCUUAUUAGAAGAGGAAGAGAAACCAGAGCUCUCUCUCUCCCUUUCCUGGCGUGUGUAAAGAGGAAAAGCCACGUGAGGACACAGCAGGAAGGUGGCUGUCUGCAAGCCAGGAAGAGAGCCCUAGCCAGAAACUGAAGUUGUGGGAACCUUGACCAUGGACUUCUCUCCUCCAGAACUGAGAGAAAAUAAGUGUCUGUUGUUUAAGCCACCCAGUGUGUGGUAUUUUGUUAUGACAGUCCUAGUAAACUAACCUACAAACAAAGCGCAUUUCAACGAUAUGCUCUUUUAAAAGGACAAUUUUUAAUAGGGCAAAUCCAUAAUAAUGUGACCUUUUUUUUUUCAUGGGGAGAGAAGGGAGACAAAUUCAGAAAGUCCCCUGAAUCAUGCUGGAGUUCCUGGAACUGCCAGUAUUUUCUAGAAGUCACAAAGAAAAAGACUGACAAAUGUGAAUAUAUAACAAUCUUUAGCUUUGGCUCCCAAGAGACCCCAUAAACAAAAGGUCAUCAACAUGAGAAAAUUAUUUGCAACAACAAUAACAAAAAUAAAGGCUAAGCUUAAUAUUUUUAUAUAUAAAAAGCUUUUAUAGAUAGUUAAAAAUACUGAAACACCAUUAGAAACAAAGGACAUAAAGCAAUUAAUUAAUUCUCUUUAUCUUUCCAUGGCCAGUAAACAUUGAAAAAAAUUGCAAUUUCUUUUUUGUUUGUUUGUUUGAGAUGGGGUCUCACUCUGUCUCUUAGACUGGAGUGCCAUGGCACAAUCACGGCUCACUGCAGCCUCAACCUCCUGGGCUCAAGUGAUCCUCCCACCACAGCCUCCCAAGUAGCUGGGACCACAGGCACAUGCCACCACCCCAGCUAAUUUUUUAUUAUUUGUAGAGAUGCGGUCUCACUAUGUUUCUCAGGCUAGUUUCGGACUGCUGGACUCCCAAAGUGCUGGAAUUACAGGCAAGAGCCACCGUUCCAGGCCUCAACUUCUUUUUUAUUUAGCAAGGUGAUAAAUUUUGAAAAGAAAAUUUUCACUGCUGGUAAAGGUAUGGUGAUAUGCGAAAGUUUACAGUGCUUAAGGGAAUUUUAACUGUACAAUCUUUAUAGAAAGCAAUUUAACAAUGUUGCAGGAGCUUGCCACAAAAAGUCCACCCUCUUUCACCCAGAAAUCUUACCUUUCUUGUCUAUCAUGAGGUAAUAACCUCCAAUGCCAUCAAAUAUCCAUCUACAAGCAUUACUUAUAAAAUUACUUAAAAACUUAAUCUAAAUGUUCAACAAUCCAAAUAUUUAACCAUAGAAAAAUAGUUAAAUUUGGAGAUUUCUAUAAAAUACUAGCCUGUCCCUAAAAAUAUUAUGGGAAUUUAAUGAUUUGGAAAAAUGCUUUAGAUACAAUAUUAUGGAGAAAAAACUAGGAUAUAAAACUGCCACAUGAGCUCAAUAUGGAUUUUUAUGUUAAAAUGGUUUAGACAAACUUUAAGGAAAUACACAAAAUGCUAGCAGCAGUUAUAAGUGGUAGAAUUACAUAUAAUUUGAGUUUUCUUUUAUAUCCUUUUCUGUGAGGUUAUUAACAAGUUAAUACAGGUAUAACACAAGUAAAUGGACAACACAGAUGACAAAGAAUUUCCUUUUUCUCUCCUCUACAAGGCUCUUGAAGGCCUAACUAGAAUCAAAGAGUUUUUUAAAACUAUGGGGAGAUGAUUUUAGUAUAAUCUAAAUAGAAAAACUUUCCUUAGAGGAGUCUAAAAAUGGCAGAUAGGGCCUCAGAAGGGUGAGUGACAUGUUACUGGAGUUCAAGUGUACACUGAAUAACCUUCCAGCCAUUCAUUAUGACACCUACUGGGAAUCUAUUAUGUGCCAAGUAGUCCUGUAGUCACUAGAGAUCUCACAAGCAGCAAGAUAAAGUCCCUGCCUCCAUGAAGCUUACCUUGCAGUGGAGGAGGAAGACAAUAACAUCAUGUCAGAGGUGAUACAGAAAAAUACUAAGUGGGCCAAGGGGAGAGUGUGAAGGUGGACACAGUGGUGGUGGCUAUUUUUGAAAGAGGCAUCAGGGUAGGGCUCCCCACUUCGAGUGAACUAAGGAAGCAAGGAACAUGGAUCUGCAGGGUUUGAGAGUUCCAGGAGGAAGGGACAGCCAGCCUGACAUGCAGAGUGAAUGAAGGACAGCCAAGGACCAGGUCCUACGUGAGAGGCUGAAGUGUGGCAGGGAGGCUUUCAGCCAUCACUGUUGCCCAGGUAAAGGAAAUUUCCCCCGUUGUGUUUUGAGGAGAGCUGCUACACACCAGUUCUCUCCUAGUAGAAGAAUGAACCAGAAAUGAACAUAAGCAUGUCGGAAUUCAUGUAUGUGGCAGACUGUAUUUUCCAAAGAUGGCCACAACAAUCUCUCUCAUUCCACAUGGUCUGCUGGAACCUUGUCACUCCUCCAUCAAGAGCUGGAACCCAUGUCUCCUGUACUUCAACCACUAUGGGUCCUUAUGACGGCCUCAACCAAUGAGUAGGUGAAAAGGACCCUUAUGUGACCUCCAAGGUAUAAUCAUCAGAAUUCCAUGAACUUCCAUCUUCUUCUCUUGGGAUGCUUGCUCUUAGAACCUAGCUGCCAUGUUUUGAGGAAGCCUUAAGCAGUCUGUGGAGAGGCCUAUAGCCAACACCAACUUGCCAGCCAUAUGAGUGUGCCAUCUUGAAAGCAGAUCCCCCAGCUACCACCAAACAGCCCAGUUGAUACCAUGUGAAAUGGAGAUUAGCUGCCUCUGCCAAGUACUGCCCAAGUUGCAGAUUUGUGAGCAAAAUAAAUGACUGCUAUUGUUUAAAGCCAAUAUGUUUUGGCGU